GUCUUCGGACCUUUACCACUGAGAGAAGCGGGAGACACGUGAUCUGUAUGCUCCCCGCGUAACCGUAGAUCGGAGUUGGCCGUUCCAAGAUUCCGUUUGGAUCUAACGCGUUACGCUAUCCCGCCUGGGAAUGACGCCCGAAAGUUAAACUUCAAGAAAUUGACGGGGCCCCGCCACAAGCCGCGAAGCAUGCGUAUUAUUUAGAUGCACGAGAAGAUCUUUUCCUUGGCUUUGACAUGUUCCCUGACUGAUUCCCAGAGAUGGUGUUCUCCCUUUCCGGGCGGGUUCACCAGGUGCAUCAUGGUCGUCGUCAGCUUGUUGUCGAGAAGAUUGUUGGGAUUUAGUCCCACCAGACGAGCCGCACCUCCUUCGCCCCGUUGUUACCAGCAGGAUUGAUUGCGGGGAUACUUCACGGGGGGACCCCCGGGUGAUUACUUAGGAGGAAGGUGGAGGAUGACUUCAUGAUCAUCAUCCCCUUUACUUCCAGGUCUUCACGCAUGCUACAACGGCUGGUACAGGGGAGGCACCACGAGGAGCUGGGGCGGAUCCAUAAAAACCGUUCUCAGUUCGGUUAGCAUUCAGCACUUCGACGGGAUGAAGGAGGAGUCGUUAGUAUUGAAUAAUCACCAACGCGGCGAUGAAGGUGUUCCGGGCCUUACACCCCACCGCCCGCCAAUCCAUAAAAGUGAGCACCACCAGAAGCCGGUGGCUUACCCCCUGGGGGGAGGCAGCCUUUAAAGAGGAGCUUGGUGAUGGGGAAUAAGUGGCAACAAGGUACCCGUCCCGGAAGGGGCGGCUGGACCUCCUCUUUUUUACGAAGAAUACGGCCGGAUUUUCUUCCGGCGGGGGGUCCCCCGGCGUGGCGGCAGUGGCGGCGUUUGGGGGCUGUUGUGGAGGAGAAGAUCAGGGGUUUUCGGGUCUUCCGUGGGGGGAUGUUCCGGGGGAGUGGGGGGGAGCCGUUUUGGGGCUCCCGGAUCCCCCCCCCAGCCUUUGGCCUGGCGCGAUUCGAUGCCCAUCGUGCCUGAUGGCGGGCUGGUCCCGUCCGGACGGCGUGGUGGUGCGUGGUGGCUUGAGAACUGGAUAGUGGACGCGAGCAAGACGGGGUUUCCUUUGAUUCCUCGUUCUUGCUGUUGAUUUAGAAUCGAACUCUAUUUUUAGUGUUUGUUUCGAUCGUUUUGUGAUCAUUUUAGUGUGAUGAUUUGUCGUCUGGGAAUUUGCUAGGAAGGAUCCUUGCGGCCAUGCGCACCGUGGUCUCGU
RNAcentral lists this unclassified non-coding RNA (1257 nucleotides) under Bifidobacterium sp. 133. Its description in RNAcentral is "partial 16S-23S ribosomal RNA intergenic spacer". The stretch from base 1 to 812 matches the Rfam family "Bacterial small subunit ribosomal RNA", at positions 735 to 1533 of the family's 1533-position model. The record is from RNAcentral. Lineage: Bacteria; Bacillati; Actinomycetota; Actinomycetes; Bifidobacteriales; Bifidobacteriaceae.